Coffea arabica (coffee) is the source of this 526-nucleotide non-coding RNA. The record is from RefSeq and is a predicted model, not a curated record. Lineage: Eukaryota; Viridiplantae; Streptophyta; Magnoliopsida; Gentianales; Rubiaceae.
CGAAGCUCUUCCUCCUUUCUUCUUUCUUUCUUUUUGAUUAAGUUUAACCUUGAGGAAUCAAGGUUAAUUGACUUGGGAGAAGCAUGGAGAUCUUAUCGAGCCAACUUAUCAAUAUGAGUACGUGACCUACUUAUUGGGCAAGUGAUUUGCUCACUCCAUUUGUUAAUAUUUUCAUUGAAGGAUGGGUUUUACGAGAUGAUGUAUGAUCAGGUAUGGGAGCUUCUAGGGAGGACUAAAGACUUGUUUAGAUCAGUCUUACUUUGGCUGUUUUGUUUGGUAACUUUUGUAUAUAGAAUUAGAUGAUGGCAGUAAAUGGUUAUAUUUUGUAUGGAAUGUUGAAUUUUGGGUCAUGCGAAUUGCUACAGAUGUACAUGGUAGGAAGAUUUAGAAGUCAGUAGGUACAAAGCUUUAAUUAUUUGAUUUUGAUUCUAAACAAGGUGAUGUUCUGUCCUGGUUUUGGGGGCGUGACACAAAGACACAUAAAUGAUAUUCUAAAAAUAAUCAACACUUUAUUUUCUUAAAGCCA